GAUCCUGGCUCAGAUUGAACGCUGGCGGCAGGCCUAACACAUGCAAGUCGAACGGUAACAGGAAGCAGCUUGCUGCUUCGCUGACGAGUGGCGGACGGGUGAGUAAUGUCUGGGAAACUGCCUGAUGGAGGGGGGAUAACUACUGGAAACGGUAGCUAAUACCGCAUAACGUCACAAGACCAAAGAGGGGGACCUUCGGGCCUCUUGCCAUCGGAUGUGCCCAGAUGGGAUUAG
RNAcentral lists this ribosomal RNA (234 nucleotides) under uncultured bacterium. RNAcentral's name for it is "partial 16S ribosomal RNA". It matches the Rfam family "Bacterial small subunit ribosomal RNA", at positions 15 to 244 of the family's 1533-position model. The record is from RNAcentral.